GAUGAACGCUGGCGGCGUGCUUAACACAUGCAAGUCGAACGAAGCACUUUAUUUGAUUUCCUUCGGGAUUGAUUAUUUUGUGACUGAGUGGCGGACGGGUGAGUAACGCGUGGGUAACCUGCCUUGUACAGGGGGAUAACAGUUGGAAACGGCUGCUAAUACCGCAUAAGCGCACAGCAUCGCAUGAUGCAGUGUGAAAAACUCCGGUGGUAUAAGAUGGACCCGCGUUGGAUUAGCUAGUUGGUGAGGUAACGGCCCACCAAGGCGACGAUCCAUAGCCGACCUGAGAGGGUGACCGGCCACAUUGGGACUGAGACACGGCCCAAACUCCUACGGGAGGCAGCAGUGGGGAAUAUUGCACAAUGGGCGAAAGCCUGAUGCAGCGACGCCGCGUGAGCGAAGAAGUAUUUCGGUAUGUAAAGCUCUAUCAGCAGGGAAGAUAAUGACG
RNAcentral lists this ribosomal RNA (448 nucleotides) under uncultured bacterium. RNAcentral's name for it is "bacterial SSU rRNA". It matches the Rfam family "Bacterial small subunit ribosomal RNA", at positions 28 to 456 of the family's 1533-position model. The record is from RNAcentral.